AGAGCGAACGCUGGCGGCAGGCCUAAUACAUGCAAGUCGAACGGACCCUUCGGGGUUAGUGGCGGACGGGUGAGUAACACGUGGGAACGUGCCCUUUGGUUCGGAACAACUCAGGGAAACUUGAGCUAAUACCGAAUGUGCCCCCAUCCUUAAACAAGAUGGGUGGGAAAGAUUUAUCGCCAUUGGAGCGGCCCGCGUCUGAUUAGCUAGUUGGUGGGUAAAGGCUCACCAAGGCGACGAUCAGUAGCUGGUCUGAGAGGAUGAUCAGCCACACUGGGACUGAGACACGGCCCAGACUCCUACGGGAGGCGGCAGUAGGGAAUCUUGCGCAAUGGGCGAAAGCCUGACGCAGCCAUGCCGCGUGAAUGAUGAAGGUCUUAGGAUUGUAAAAUUCUUUCAGCGGGACGAUAAUGACGGUACCCGCAGAAGAAGCCCCGGCUAACUUCGCGCCAGCAGCCGC
RNAcentral lists this ribosomal RNA (460 nucleotides) under uncultured bacterium. Its description in RNAcentral is "SSU rRNA". It matches the Rfam family "Bacterial small subunit ribosomal RNA", at positions 26 to 518 of the family's 1533-position model. The record is from RNAcentral.